RNAcentral lists this long non-coding RNA (325 nucleotides) under Medicago truncatula (barrel medic). Its description in RNAcentral is "long non-coding RNA (MTRU_LNC007099)". The record is from RNAcentral. Lineage: Eukaryota; Viridiplantae; Streptophyta; Magnoliopsida; Fabales; Fabaceae.
UAAUCUUCAAUCUUCAAGUUUCCCCCUUUCUCUAACCCUUGUUCUUCCUUUCUCCCACUUUCUCUCUCUACCUCUCUCUAACUUUGUGAAAUGAAAAGGAAUGAAUGAAUUUCUCUCCAAGUUUUAGGUUUGGAUAUACUAUCUCUCAAUUGGGCUCAAUUCUAGACCCUAGUGGGUUUAACCCAUUUCUAUUAACACCAAAAUAUUCUACACUCUAAACGGUAUUUAAACUAAUAACGGUAAAAUAAAACCAACGUAACUAAACGGUAAAAACUAAUUACUAUACUAGUAACUUAGUAAAAUAAUGGUUGUCACUAAACAUUAA